AGUCUCAUUUUUACAUAGAUGAGCAGCAACUUUAGAAAUUCAUGCUCAAGUCUGUCACUUAUAUUUUAAUAUUGAAAUUAAUAGAAAAAAAAAAGAAAAAUAAAUGAAAAAGAUAAAAGACUCAUUUCAAAUUGUUUAUGACCAAAUCAACCAAAAAUUGAGAUUUUAAACCAAAGAUGCAAGUUAAAAACUUUUGAACUCCUUUGCAUAAAUAAAUAUUGUAAUAUUCAAGGGACCAUUUAUGUCAAUUGUUUGGAAUACAUAUGGAAGUUGGGGGGAAACAAACCGCAUUUUACAAAACUCACGAUCCGGAGACGUGUAGGUUAGAAAGGUUUUAAUUUUGGAAAAGGUUUUAUAAAAAUGACCGUUGGAAUUGGGAAGCCAAAAGGUUUGGGUCGGUGUAUUGGCGCAUAAAAUAUUACCUUCUUUAUUCUUCCUUCUUCACUUCACUCAUCCCGCUUCGUUCUCCUAACACCGUCGGAGACGACUCAUCGCGACCUCUGUAACUCAGCUCACCGGAGACACAAGCACUCCCACCCUUCGUAGGACACUCACAACCAUGCUUCAAAUUGCUAAUGUUGUAUGCAUCAGAUGUUGGACAAGUACCAAAUGUUGAGGAAACAAUGAGGAUUCAGACUCGUACUUAGAACCAUCCAUCACCUAUAGAAUUAGAAAUUAUACCCAUAUCUUCUCAACCUGAUUUUGUAUCAAACAUGGUUCCAAUUUUUCAAUAAAGAAUUUGUACGCAAUGUAUCCUUUGAUCAUCUAUUACAUGCCUGUUGGUUGUUUUGUUCAAAUGACAUUGAUCCUAUCAAUAAGUUUGUGAAACUUUUUAACAUGAAUCAGUUACCCCUGCUUCUGAUCAUGAACCAAAUGCAUGAGAAUUGAAUAUGUCUAAUGCUUCUCCUGGUCAGCAUCUUGGCUUUUUGCUUAGCAGAGAGGAUGCAGAUAACCGCCUUCAAUCCAUUGAUUACAAGUUGACAAAGCCUAGAAACAGUAUACAGGUGUACAGGUAGCUAUAGCUAUGAGUCUACGACCUUGUUUGUGAAAAUGAUUGCUUAUUUAAUUAAAAGAUCCUAAAUAUUGCAUGGAAAAUGCCUUCAACACUUAUUACGUACGCCUGAAAACUGAGACAUCAUGGAAGGGAAAUGCCACAUGGUGGUUGUCUUUGGUGGAUUGAAAUGUUAGAAACAAGUGGUGAAUAUAAAGAGGGUGAUGGUGUUUAAGGAACCUCUUCGUUCAGCUGUGAUGCUUGAACAAGGAUCUUAUUGCUGUUACCUUUUAGCCAAACCAAUUAUAUUAAGAAAGUAUGGAUUUCAUCUCAUUCUUUCUCAUGAUCUAUACAAGAAAUGCCAUCAGAUUUUGCACAACAUCCAGCUGAAGAAGUUGAUGAAUACAUACUCUGAUAGACACGAGGUAUGCAUCUGAAACCUUCUGAGAUUACAAGUAGAUGGAGUUAUUGGAGAAGAGUAUGUUGAGUAGUUGAUUAUUUUUUAAGGUCAACAACUUGAAAUUGUUGGAUGACAUGGCGGAAUUGAGUUCAACCUACUGUGUUACACAAAUAUAUAACAGAGCAUAUGAUGUGUUGGGUAUGAUAAAUUUAUGUAUUUUUCACUUAGUAAGGCUUAUUGAUGCUCAGUUACGUGUGUGUGUGUGUGUGGUUGAUUAUUCCAAGGUUAUGAAUGUAGUGAAGAGGCAAAAAGCAUUUUUUAAAGGUAAAAAUUUACAAAACUUUCUUCAGCAAGCCCAAGGGAGAGAGGGCGCCUUGUAGUUUUUGUUCCAUACUUUAAUUAAAGAAUAUAAUCUGUCCAAUAUUAUCUUUCAGGCAUCUCCUAUGCUAUGCUAUGGUAUGUGGGGGAGUUUAAUUAGUAUUUAACAAAAUAAAAGACAACUUACUUUUGUUUAUGGUUUCAGGUGCAUCACCCUCCCCUUGUCUCUUGAUGUCAUGGAUUUUCUUAAAGUAUAAGUAAUUUUUAGGGCUAAAUGCAAUAUAUAACAGCUUACUUUCAUUCAUUUGUGUUUUAUUUCAGCAUCCUAGUUUCAUUUCUUUCUAUUACAGUAUUCUACUUUCAACUUUUUCAUAUGAAGACAUUGUAUUUUGAAAAAUAUACCCAAUCAUAUAGGAUACUACUUUUAGCUAUUUUAUUAUUUGGACAUUUUACUUUUAUAGAUGUUUAUAGCAUUGUACUUUCAUCUUUCUUUUUAUUAGGGCAUUCUGCUUUGAAAAUUAUACCCAAUUAUAGCAUAUUCUUGUUGUGACAUUUUACUUUAAAUAAUCUAUCCAUUUAUAGCAUUGUACUUUUAUUUAUUUAUUUAUUUAUUUAUUUUUUGCUUUUAGGACAUUAUACUCCGACAAAUUUAAAUUUCUAUGUCUCGUCUUUAAAUGAAAGUAGGAUACUACAAUUCACAAAUCAAUGAAAGUACAUUGAUAUUUCUUUCAUUUAAACAUUUAUAAGAUUUUGUCAGGAGAGAAGUAAUUGAUGAAGAAGGAUGGAUUCAAUUGAUGUAGGGUUGUGGGCACCUGGAGGCCGCUUAAAGAUUAUUGAUAGAUGUUCAAUGCUUCUUCUGGUCAGCAUCUUGGCUUUUUUUUUUCUCAGCAAAGAGGAUGUGGGUGAGGUUCUUUCUGAAAAAAAAAAACAAUUUUAUAUAUCAGCAUAUUGUUUUUCUUUCCUACCUUUUCUAUUUUAAUCCUAAGAGCAACUUAGGGCGUCUGUGGUUCUUGGAUUCCAUAGAAAUCUGAAGGAAUUGGAAUGGAAGAUUCCUUAAGUUACACACUUGGUUGACAAAAUGGAUGGAAUUGGAUUCCAUUAAACUCCACCAAAAUCUGUAUUCAACAGAUUUAUCAUUCCCAGGGAAGAAUUGGAAUUCCUUUAUUUAUUUAUUCAUUAAAAAGACUAAAUUUGUCCUUACAACCAAAAUACUGUUUUCAAAUCUUGCACCUUCUUUAUUCUCACCCCUAAUUUAUCCUAAUAUACAACUCUGUAAAUGUAGAUAUUUAUAUUCAUUUAUUAUAUUUUAGCUAUUUAUUUUUCUUCAUAAGUCGUUUUUAAUAUCAUAUUACUUUUUCUUUUAAUGUUUAUGAAAUUAGUGUAUGCAUGUUUUGAUGUGUAUAUAAUUAGUGUUUAAUAAUUGUCUUAUAAGUAAAAUCUUUUCCAGUAAAUAGCAAUUCUAUUAUUUUAUAUAAAAAAAGUCACUAAAUGGUGUUUUGGUCAUUUAACAUAGUUUUCACUUCAAUUAUUUUGAUAGAUUUACAAACCAAACACAAAACAAUACAUAAAUGGAAUUGAAAUCCUUUCAACCAUACACAUGACAUAUUCCAAUUCCUUUGACAAAUUCCAUUCAUUUCAAAAUUAUUUUGCGAACUACAAGUUACCUUACAUUACACUGAGAUAAAUUGCUAUUCUUAAUUCCAAUUCAUUACUCUGAAACAAGAAAAGGCUUUAGAAACCAAUUACAAAACUUGGGGUUUAGAAAAGGAAAAGAAGAUGCCCCCGAGAAUCAAAGUGUUAACAUGAUUGUUUUUAUCCUUAACACUAUAAAACACUUGAUGCCUUUUUAUGUUCUUAUUUAGUUUUUCUGUUAAUGUUUAAAGCUACAGUAUUAGUUCCAUUGAAUCUCAAAUACCUUGCUUUAUCAAAUUACUGCCUUCAAUCCACUGAUUACAAUCUGACAAAGCAUGGAAAUGAUAUACAUGUACAGGAAAUGAUGCGCUUAUUUUUUAAAAGUUGCUAAAUAUUGCAUGGAAAAUGCCUUCAGACUUGUUUAGUAUGCCUGCAAAUUGAGACAUCAGGGAAGGGAAAUGCCACAUGGUGGUGGUCUUUGGUGGAUUGAAAUGUUAGAAACAAGUGGUGAAUAUAAAGAGGGUGCUGGUGUUUAAGGUAAUAAUCAAUUCUCUUUUAUGAAUAAAAGUAUAAAUAUGAGAAUUUUGUGAAAAACUUCUAUUUUUUGCGGGAACCUCUUCGUUCAGCUGUGAUGCUUGAACAAGCAUCUUAUUGCUGUUACCUUUUAGCCAAACCAAUUAUAUCAAGAAAGUAUGGAUUUCAUCUCAUUCUUUCUCAUGAUCUAUACAAGAAAUGCCAUCAGGGUAUUUCAAGAAGAGCAUAUUAGAAAACAGCAUAUGCCAAGUGCAAUUGUGUGGGUCAAUGCUUUAUGUAUGGUCAAAUCUUGGAUUCAAUGCGAGAGUAUGUAGUCCGCUUUCUAAAAACUCUGGAUGAAAUUACAAACCAAACACAAAACAAAACAUGAAUGGAAUUGAAAUCCUUUCCAUUUUCUUUCAACCAUACACAUGACAAAUUCCAAUUCCAUUGAUAAAUUUCAUUCAUUUCAAAAAUAUUUUGAGAACCGCAAAUUAAUUCCCUUCCAUUACUAUGAGAUUAAUUCCUAUCCUUAAAGCCAAUUCCUUUUACAAAUUCCAUUCAUUACUAUGCAACAAGAAAAGGUUUCAGAAACCAAAUACAGAACUUGUGGUUUAGAAAAGAAAAAGAAGACACCCCCAAGAAUCUAAGUGUUAACAUGAUUGUUUUUACCCUUAACACAAUAAAACACUUCAAGUUUUUAUGUUCUUAUUUAGUUUUUCUUUCAAUGCUUAAAGGUACACUUUUUGGUCCAUUGAAUCUCAAAUACCUUGCUUUAUCAAAUUGCUGCCUCCAAUCCACUGAUUACAAGCUGACAAAGCAUGGAAAUGAUUUACAGGUGUACAGCAAAUUGAGACAUUAGGGAAGGGAAAUGCCACAUGGUGGUGGUCUUUGGUGGGUUGAAAUGUUGAAAAUAAGUGGUGAAUAUAAAGAGGGUGCUGGUAUUUAAAGGAACCUCUUCGUUCAGCUCUGAUGCUUGAACAAACAUCUUAUUUCUAUUACCCUUUAGCCAAACCAAUUAUAUUAAGAAAGUAUGGAUUUUAUCUCAUUCUUUCUGAUGGUCUAUACAAUAAAUGCGAUCAGUUAGUGGUAGAACAAGCGUACAAUGUCAUUCUUCCAGAGAAAUUGAAGACAGGAAAUUGGUAUGCAUCUGAAACCUUCCGAGAUUACAAGUAGAUGGAGGAGAGUAUGUUAAGUAGUUUAUUAUUUUUUAAGGCGGAUUGUGUACAAAACAAGUAUUCAAUAACACUAUCUGCAUUUUUUUAAAGAUUCAAAUGGAUGACUUAUCCAAGGCAUGUCACUUGUAUGCUAAUUUAUCUCUGUUGGUUUUGUACCUUUUCAAAGAAAAUUAAGUUCAUGACAAAAACUACUCUUUCUUUUUGACUGACUUACUAUAUUUUCAUCCAUACAGGUCAACAACUUGAAAUUGUUGGAUGACAUCGCAGAACUGAGUUCAACCUAUUGAGUUACACGAUUAUAUGAUGGUGUUAUGAAUGCAGUGAAGAGGCAAAAAGCAUUAUUUAAAUUAAAGAAGUAAAGCUUGUGGAUGUCCUUGAGAUGAGUUAUACAUCCGAUUAUCAACAUUCACCAGACCCUUGUGGGCUGCUACAAAGAUGAAGUGCAAAUAUCAUCAGAAGACACAAAUGUAUUUCCUGUGAAUAACUUUCAAAAGAACUUUGUCUUCAUUGGAGCUUCCAAGAUCUCUCUCUUGCGAAUGGAACACCUUCAUUUUCAGAAGAUACUUGAUACAGUUGCUACUUAAGAAGACAAUCAUUUAGGCAGCAGGCAGCAAAACAACAGACAGAGGCCUUGUAGAUGGUCAAAGUCAAGGUCAAGGUCAAGGUCAAAAUGAAGGAGGAGAAAUAUUUGGGCUUCCAAAGACCACCAGCCUCUUGAAUUCCCC
Non-coding RNA from Lactuca sativa (garden lettuce), 5757 nucleotides. NCBI's taxonomy places the organism in Eukaryota, Viridiplantae, Streptophyta, Magnoliopsida, Asterales, Asteraceae. The record is from RefSeq and is a predicted model, not a curated record.